GGAAGAUUGGUCGAGUGGACUAUGGCGCCUGUUUCGAAAACAGGCGGCUCUGCGAGGAGACCGGGGUUCGAAUCCCUCAUCUUCCG
Molecule: transfer RNA, 86 nt
Filed under: Variovorax sp. WDL1
Lineage: Bacteria; Pseudomonadati; Pseudomonadota; Betaproteobacteria; Burkholderiales; Comamonadaceae
Description: tRNA-Ser
Rfam family: tRNA
About the family: Transfer RNA (tRNA) molecules are approximately 80 nucleotides in length. Their secondary structure includes four short double-helical elements and three loops (D, anti-codon, and T loops).
Source: RNAcentral